This is a long non-coding RNA of Pseudophryne corroboree (corroboree frog), 1886 nucleotides long. RefSeq lists it as uncharacterized. The record is from RefSeq and is a predicted model, not a curated record. Lineage: Eukaryota; Metazoa; Chordata; Amphibia; Anura; Myobatrachidae. The transcript is spliced from 6 exons.
UGUAGUUUAUUUCCUGUUUCAUCACUCAGCCAGAGUGGGUGCGGCAUGGGAUGCUGCCCCCGCGCUCUUACUGUUGCCGGCCCCACAGCGAAGCACUGCAGGAGAGGAGACUGAGAAGACAGCCCUUGCUGCUGGGAGCUGACUGAGCUCUCAGGCUGUCAGGGGGCGGAGCCAAGCUCAGGCAGACGUUAAAGACAGAAGACCCACACUCCGGAGGAGCAGAGGUGACAUGAAGUGUCGCCACCUUUCUCCUGGAUCUGAUGCUCCGCCCCCCUGCAGUGUCUCUAGGGAGAGACAUGAUGACAUAGGGGUUUGAGGAGGAGGCAUUCCAGCUCACAGUGCAGCAGCAGCAGCCCAGUGACCUCCGGUGACCUUUUCCCCACCUGCCGUCAGUCACAGAGCUUGGGGUGCAGUGGAGAAGCAAAUAGCUUUGAUAUGCAAAUAAGAGAAGUACUUUUCAACUCAGUUCCUGAAGUUCCCCUGGACAGGUCAUGAUUUCAGGAUUUCCUUAAAUGUGUUCACUUGAAACAACCCAUUCGACCAGUUUACAUGGACUGAAUGAAUGACUUGAUGAGCAAGGGAUUUAUAGGGCAAUACAUUUAACACAAGAAAAGAUACAGAUGAUAGGGGAAGAUGAGAAGCGGCAUGGAACAGUACCAUCACCUCUAGAAUGGGCCCCACGCCUGGGUGGUGUUGGUGCAGGUGAGGUGUUGGCCCUACUACUGGCGGAACUUCAUACCUGAGGGAGGAGACCAACUUUUUCUUGUCUUAAUGUUUUCAAAUUUUCAUUCAUCUACCUAAGAAGAUUGUUUUGCAUUUCAAAUUGAUGAUUUCAGUUCUGUUGAAAGGUCAUAUUUUCAUUUGUUUCUGCCUCUAAAAGACGGUGGUUUGCUUCUAAGAUUCUGAUUAUUACACCAAAACUCUCUGUCAAAUUGGUGUUUACCUGGCUGACAUUUUAUUUAAGACUACAAACAUUUUUUUUUUUUAAGCAUGAAAGUUGCAUUCAUUUGUGAAAGUCUACAAAUAUGAUGACAUAUUUGUGGCAAGUGCUUUAUUUGUGUCUAACAGUGCCACAUUACUAUUAUGGAAUGAAGCCAUGGAGGACAGGAAGUCAGAGGCAGCAUCAUCACCUGCUUGUAUUGCUGGCUACUAAGGGGGUCAUUCCGAGUUGAUCGUAGCUGUGCUAAAUUUAGCACAGCUACGAUCUUCUUCCCUGACAUGCGGGGGAACGCCCAGAACAGGGCUAGCCCGCCCCGCACGUCAGUGCCGGCCCCCCUCGCAGAAGUGCAAAGGCAUCACACAGCGGCGAUGCCUUUGCACUUCAAGAGUAGUUCCCAGCCAGCGCAGCUUUAGCAUGCUGGCCGGGAGCUACUCAUCGCUCCCCAGCCCGCAGCGGCUGCAUGUGACGUCACGCAGCCGUUGCGGCCCGCCCCCCGUUUGGUCCGGCCACGUCUGCGUUGGCCGGGCCAAACCCACGAAACGGUGGCCAAAUGCCGCCGUUCCGCCCCCUCCCGCCCAGCGAUUGCCUCUGCCUGUCAAUCAGGCAGAGGUGAUCGCAUCCCUGCUAUGGCCUUCGGCUGUCUGGCAUGCACCGGCGCACUACGGCGCCGGCGCAUGCGCAGCCGGGACCCGUUCGCUCUGCUGCAUUAAAAUGCAGCAAAUGAACGGGUCAGAAUGACCCCCUAAGUCUGGGCUUGGUGGCUUUGGAGUUUGGGUCUGUGGCCUUCAGUGCCAUCAUAUCUUAGCAUCUAUCUCCCAGGUUAAGCAGCAGCGAUGAAUCACCCCAAUGUAGCAAAAACUAGAUUGUUACAUUGGUGUAAGUGUAAAUGACAAAUGUAUCACUCCGUGACCAUGAAUACAUAUGCGCAUAUUACGCGUACAAAAUA